GCCCUUAGAGUUUGAUCCUGGCUCAGGACGAACGCUGGCGGUAUGCUUAACACAUGCAAGUCGAACGAGACGAGAUGGAAGGAUCCUUCGGGUGACGGAAAUCUUAGAAAGUGGCGAACGGGUGAGUAACGCGUGGGUAACCUGCCCUAUGGAAAGGAAUAGCCUCGGGAAACUGGGAGUAAUGCCUUAUAAUAUAGUGAAGUCGCAUGGCUUUGCUAUUAAACGCUCCGGUGCCAUAGGAUGGACCCGCGUCCCAUUAGCUAGUUGGUGAGAUAACAGCCCACCAAGGCGACGAUGGGUAACCGGUCUGAGAGGGCGAACGGUCACACUGGAACUGAGACACGGUCCAGACUCCUACGGGAGGCAGCAGUGGGGAAUAUUGCGCAAUGGGGGAAACCCUGACGCAGCAAUACCGCGUGAGUGAAGAAGGUUUUCGGAUCGUAAAGCUCUGUUAUUGGGGAAGAAAAAAGACGGUACCCAAGAAGAAAGNCCCGGCUAACUGACG
Molecule: ribosomal RNA, 505 nt
Filed under: uncultured bacterium
Lineage: Bacteria
Description: bacterial SSU rRNA
Rfam family: Bacterial small subunit ribosomal RNA
Source: RNAcentral